RNAcentral lists this ribosomal RNA (594 nucleotides) under uncultured bacterium. RNAcentral describes it as "bacterial SSU rRNA". It matches the Rfam family "Bacterial small subunit ribosomal RNA", at positions 338 to 949 of the family's 1533-position model. The record is from RNAcentral.
CCUACGGGAGGCAGCAGUAGGGAAUUUUCCGCAAUGGGCGAAAGCCUGACGGAGCAAUACCGCGUGAGGGAAGAAUGCCUACGGGUUGUAAACCUCUUUUUCAGGGAGGAACAUAAUGACGUGUACCUGAAGAAUAAGCAUCGGCUAACUCCGUGCCAGCAGCCGCGGUAAGACGGAGGAUGCAAGUGUUAUCCGGAAUCACUGGGCGUAAAGCGUCUGUAGGUGGUUUAAUAAGUCAACUGUUAAAUCUUGAGGCUCAACCUCAAAAUCGCAGUCGAAACUAUUAGACUAGAGUAUAGUAGGGGUAAAGGGAAUUUCCAGUGGAGCGGUGAAAUGCGUAGAGAUUGGAAAGAACACCGAUGGCGAAAGCACUUUACUAGGCUAUUACUGACACUCAGAGACGAAAGCUAGGGUAGCAAAUGGGAUUAGAUACCCCAGCAGUCCUAGCUGUAAACUAUGGAUACUAGAUGUUGAACAGAUCGACCUGUGCAGUAUCAAAGCUAACGCGUUAAGUAUCCCGCCUGGGAAGUAUGCUCGCAAGGGUGAAACUCAAAGGAAUUGACGGCNGAGAGNGCGAGACGACACGAGGGAGAG